AUUGAACGCUGGCGGAAUGCUUUACACAUGCAAGUCGAACGGCAGCACGGACUUCGGUCUGGUGGCGAGUGGUGAACGGGUGAGUAAUGUAUCGGAACGUGCCCAGUCGUGGGGGAUAACGUAGUGAAAAUUACGCUAAUACCGCAUACGAUCUAUGGAUGAAAGCGGGGGAUCGCAAGACCUCGCGCGAUUGGAGAGGCCGAUAGCAGAUUAGGUAGUUGGUGGGGUAAAGGCCCACCAAGCCAACGAUCUGUAGCUGGUCUGAGAGGACGGCCAGCCACCCUGGAACUGAGACACGGUCCAGACUCCUACGGGAGGCAGCAGUGGGGAAUUUUGGACAAUGGGCGAAAGCCUGAUCCAGCCAUUCCGCGUGCAGGAUGAAGGCCCUCGGGUUGUAAACUGCUUUUGUACAGAACGAAAAGGUUGCUACUAAUACUAGGAGCUCAUGACGGUACUGUAAGAAUAAGCACCGGCUAACUACGUGCCAGCCGCCGCCGUAA
This 500-nucleotide ribosomal RNA is filed under the name uncultured bacterium. RNAcentral's name for it is "partial 16S ribosomal RNA". It matches the Rfam family "Bacterial small subunit ribosomal RNA", at positions 30 to 523 of the family's 1533-position model. The record is from RNAcentral.